RNAcentral lists this ribosomal RNA (473 nucleotides) under uncultured bacterium. RNAcentral's name for it is "bacterial SSU rRNA". It matches the Rfam family "Bacterial small subunit ribosomal RNA", at positions 39 to 485 of the family's 1533-position model. The record is from RNAcentral.
GCCAUGGCGACCGCGGGAAUUCGAUUCAGGCCUAACACAUGCAAGUCGAGCGGGGAAAGGUAGCUUGCUACUUGACCUAGAGGCGGACGGGUGAGUAAUGCUUAGGAAUCUGCCUAUUAGUGGGGGACAACAUCUCGAAAGGGAUGCUAAUACCGCAUACGUCCUACGGGAGAAAGCAGGGGACCUUCGGGCCUUGCGCUAAUAGAUGAGCCUAAGUCGGAUUAGCUAGUUGGUGGGGUAAAGGCCUACCAAGGCGACGAUCUGUAGCGGGUCUGAGAGGAUGAUCCGCCACACUGGGACUGAGACACGGCCCAGACUCCUACGGGAGGCAGCAGUGGGGAAUAUUGGACAAUGGGGGGAACCCUGAUCCAGCAAGGCCGCGUGUGUGAAGAAGGCCUUUUGGUUGUAAAUCAUAAGGGGCGAGGAGGAGGCUACCGAGAUUAAUACUCUUGGAUAGUGGACGUACUCGCAGA